UUAUUUCCUACUGUUUCCUUGAUUUCUUAUUGUAUCACCAUCUAGCCCUGGUUGGGUGGAAGAAAGAGGAAAAAGUAGAGAGAAA
This 85-nucleotide microRNA precursor is filed under the name Hippoglossus hippoglossus (Atlantic halibut). Its description in RNAcentral is "microRNA hhi-mir-7790 precursor". Lineage: Eukaryota; Metazoa; Chordata; Actinopteri; Pleuronectiformes; Pleuronectidae. The record is from miRBase by way of RNAcentral.